GACGAACGCUGGCGGCGCGCCUAACACAUGCAAGUCGAACGAGUGAGAGAGAGCUUGCUUUCUCAAGCGAGUGGCGAACGGGUGAGUAACGCGUGAGGAACCUGCCUCAAAGAGGGGGACAACAGUUGGAAACGACUGCUAAUACCGCAUAAGCCCACGACCCGGCAUCGGGUAGAGGGAAAAGGAGCAAUCCGCUUUGAGAUGGCCUCGCGUCCGAUUAGCUAGUUGGUGAGGUAACGGCCCACCAAGGCGACGAUCGGUAGCCGGACUGAGAGGUUGAACGGCCACAUUGGGACUGAGACACGGCCCAGACUCCUACGGGAGGCAGCAGUGGGGAAUAUUGCACAAUGGGGGAAACCCUGAUGCAGCGACGCCGCGUGGAGGAAGAAGGUCUUCGGAUUGUAAACUCCUGU
This 413-nucleotide ribosomal RNA is filed under the name uncultured bacterium. RNAcentral describes it as "bacterial SSU rRNA". It matches the Rfam family "Bacterial small subunit ribosomal RNA", at positions 28 to 436 of the family's 1533-position model. The record is from RNAcentral.